AAUGGGAGAUGAGGAGAUGAGUCCAGAGGGAGGAGUGCAGUCGCGGGAAGAUACCGGCCUGCCCUGAGGCAGGGGCUCUGGGACCGGACAUGCAGAGUCAAGAGAUAUUCAGGAGGAAAAAUGACCAGAUUUUGUGAUUAACUGAUUGAAAGACAGGCAGAUUACAGCAGGAAAAAAGAAGGGAGGUUAGGUUAACUCCAGUGGCUUUGCUCUUGGAUGGCCAGCUGGACAAUGGCUCCCUUCACUGUGCCGGAGGAUAGGAGAAGAAGAGUAAGUUGUAGGAACAAGCCUACAAGCCAAUGACGUCAAUACUGGAUCGGGUAAAAGUGAGCCAAGUGAAAAACUCUUAGGCAGAGAUGGCAGGUAGGAUUUUCGGGGUGAUCUUUUUCAAACAGGGAAAUUUGUGCCCAGAGAGGUUACAGGAAUCAGUCGACUCCACGUAGCUGAUGAGUGGCAGAAAGCAACUCAAGGCCCAGCUGUGCCCAGGUAUGCUACUGUAGUCCAGGGCUCUUUUCACUACACCCUCUGCCUUCACCUUCCGCCCUCCUGCCUUGCAGCAACAGCUCAAGAUAAGGUCUCCACCACACAGUCACUGGCUGGAGGGGAGAGAAAGAAGUACAAAGGCAUGGUCUUUGGUAGUAAACACCUUGAAAUCAAGUCAGAUGGAUUAAAAGAAGUCACAAAAUGAUUAGCAAACAAGAAGAUACGUAAAUGUGAUGGUGACUAACACUAUAGAAGGAGUUCAGAAAAUAAAGAAACAAGUGUAUUAGAAGAAGAAGGACAAAUCUUCAGAGAAGAGAGCCCUCGAGGCUUAAAGAUGGAAGGAGCCACGUGGCAAGGAAGUGGGUGACCUUAGAGACUGACAGCAGCCCCCAUCUGACAGCAAGCAAAGAAAUGGAGACCUCAGUUCCACAAGCUCAAGCAACUAAUUUCUGCCACCUAAGAGAAUGAACUUGGAAGUGGAUUUUCCACCAGGGUCUCCAUUUGAGAACUCAGUACAGACAAUAUCUUGAUUUCAGUCUUCUUGAGCAGAAUCUAGUCAUGCUGUGAAGGACUUCUGACCUACAGAGCUGUGCUAAUGAAUGGGUAUUAUUUUAAGCCUCUAAACUUGUUACCCAGCAAUAGAAAACUAAUACAGGGAAGAAAUAAGAAAGAUGUUUGUAAUUUGAUUCUCCAUAGUCAGGCACAUGGAAAAGUAAACUCUUUCUUCCUACUUCUAAAAGCCAAAGUCAUACACCCUCAGGCUAUGUGUGAUUUGCCUAAGCAGUCAUAUAAAGCUAUUUUAUGCUUUCAACAAAUGUUUAUUGACCUUCAGGUGAUACCUUGGGAACUGUGUAUGUAGGAAUAAGUAAAAAUAUUGGAAUUUGAUUAUUAACAUUUUAAACUAGUUGGACCAUUAGAGGACUAGUAGAAGUUCUUACCACAAAGAAAAGAAUGACUUAUGACAGCAGUCCCCAAUCUUCUGGGCACCAGGGACCAUUACAGAAGUAGAAGUAUAGCAUUUUAAAUGACUUGGUUUAAAACUGGCAGCAGCCUCAUAGUGUAUGUCUGCCUAUAUUUUAAUAUACAUGCAUAAUUUAUUUUUAUAACAAUUUUUAUAAUUUAUUGGCAGUGUGUAUGUAUUUGAUAACUGAUAUGGUUUGGCUGUGUCCUCAUCCAAAUCUCAUCUUGAAUUUUAACUCCCACAAUUCCCACAUGUCAUGGGAGGAACCUAGUGGAAGUGAUUGAAUUAUGGGAGUGGGUCUUUCCUGUGCUGUUCUCAUGAUAGUGAAUGAGUCUCAUGAGACUGAUAGUUUCAAAAAGGGGAGUUUCCCUGAACAAGCUCUCUUCUCUUGCCUGCCACCAUGUGAGACAUGCCUUUCACUUUCCACCAUGAUUGUGAAGUCUCCCCAGCCACAUGAAACUAAGUCCAAUAAACCUCUUUCUUUUGU
Long non-coding RNA from Pongo pygmaeus (Bornean orangutan), 1931 nucleotides. RefSeq lists it as uncharacterized. NCBI's taxonomy places the organism in Eukaryota, Metazoa, Chordata, Mammalia, Primates, Hominidae. The transcript is spliced from 3 exons. The record is from RefSeq and is a predicted model, not a curated record.